GACGAACGCUGGCGGCGUGCUUAACACAUGCAAGUCGAACGGUAAGGCUCUGACAUUGCGGGGUGCUCGAGUGGCGAACGGGUGUGUCACACGUGAGUAAACUGACCCUGACUUUAGGAUCCCUUCAGGUAAGUGGGGCUACUACCGGCUAGGAGCUCUUGCUGCUAGGAGGGUGAUGGCAAGUGUCGGAGGUAGGGGAUCGGCUCGCGGCUUAUCAGCUUGUUGGUGGGGUAGUGGCUUACCAAGGCUUUGACGGGUAGCAGGCCUGAGAGGGUGGCCGGCCACAUUGGGACUGAGAUACGGCCCAGACUCCUACGGUACGCAGGAGUGGGGAGUAUUACACAACGGGCGGAAGCCUAAUGCAACGACGCCACGUGCGGGAUGACGGGCUUCGGGUUGAGAACCACUGUCGCCUGAUACGAGGCGAUUGUGACGGUAAUGGAUAAAAAAGCCCCGGCUAACUACGUG
Molecule: ribosomal RNA, 468 nt
Filed under: uncultured bacterium
Lineage: Bacteria
Description: partial 16S ribosomal RNA
Rfam family: Bacterial small subunit ribosomal RNA
Source: RNAcentral